RNAcentral lists this long non-coding RNA (228 nucleotides) under Phaseolus vulgaris (common bean). Its description in RNAcentral is "long non-coding RNA (PVUL_LNC002991)". Lineage: Eukaryota; Viridiplantae; Streptophyta; Magnoliopsida; Fabales; Fabaceae. The record is from RNAcentral.
UUUAUUCAUAGUUCUUACAAGAUAGUGGACUUUACACUCAAGAGUUUUACAGUUUUCACAAGGUUUUGAGUGACACAAACAAGAAGACUUUUUGCAAUGCAUUUCAAGAUUUUCAAAAUCAAUUUUUGAAUUUUCCAAUUCUUCUUCAAGUGGCUUGACUCUGUUUUCAAACCAGUUAUUUAACUCUUUCAACCGGUUGUUCAAGAGAGUCAAUCGGUUAGCUUCUUC